GGGCGGGACACGUGGUAUCCUGUCUGAAUAUGGGGGGACCAUCCUCCAAGGCUAAAUACUCCUGACUGACCGAUAGUGAACCAGUACCGUGAGGGAAAGGCGAAAAGAACCCCGGCGAGGGGAGUGAAAAAGAACCUGAAACCGUGUACGUACAAGCAGUGGGAGCACAGGUUUACCUGUGUGACUGCGUACCUUUUGUAUAAUGGGUCAGCGACUUAUAUUCUGUAGCAAGGUUAACCGAAUAGGGGAGCCGGAGGGAAACCGAGUCUUAAUUGGGCGUUAAGUUGCAGGGUAUAGACCCGAAACCCGGUGAUCUAGCCAUGGGCAGGUUGAAGGUUGGGUAACACUAACUGGAGGACCGAACCGACUAAUGUUGAAAAAUUAGCGGAUGACCUGUGGCUGGGGGUGAAAGGCCAAUCAAACCGGGAGAUAGCUGGUUCUCCCCGAAAGCUAUUUAGGUAGCGCCUCGUGAAUUCAUCUCCGGGGGUAGAGCACUGUUUCGGCUAGGGGGCCAUCCCGGCUUACCAACCCGAUGCAAACUGCGAAUACCGGAGAAUGUUAUCACGGGAGACACACGGCGGGUGCUAACGUCCGUCGUGAAGAGGGAAACAACCCAGACCGCCAGCUAAGGUCCCAAAGUCAUGGUUAAGUGGGAAACGAUGUGGGAAGGCCCAGACAGCCAGGAUGUUGGCUUAGAAGCAGCCAUCAUUUAAAGAAAGCGUAAUAGCUCACUGGUCGAGUCGGCCUGCGCGGAAGAUGUAACGGGGCUAAACCAU
This 776-nucleotide ribosomal RNA is filed under the name Salmonella enterica. RNAcentral's name for it is "partial 23S ribosomal RNA". It matches the Rfam family "Bacterial large subunit ribosomal RNA", at positions 415 to 1190 of the family's 2925-position model. The record is from RNAcentral. Lineage: Bacteria; Pseudomonadati; Pseudomonadota; Gammaproteobacteria; Enterobacterales; Enterobacteriaceae.